AACGAACGCUGGCGGCAUGCCUAACACAUGCAAGUCGAACGAGACCUUCGGGUCUAGUGGCGCAUGGGUGCGUAACGCGUGGGAACCUGCCCUUAGGUUCGGAAUAACUCCCCGAAAGGGGUGCUAAUACCGGAUAAUGUCUUCGGACCAAAGAUUUAUCGCCUUUGGAUGGGCCCGCGUUGGAUUAGCGAGUUGGUAGGGUAAAAGCCUACCAAGGCGACGAUCCAUAGCUGGUCUGAGAGGAUGAUCAGCCACACUGGGACUGAGACACGGCCCAGACUCCUACGGGAGGCAGCAGUGGGGAAUAUUGGACAAUGGGCGAAAGCCUGAUCCAGCAAUGCCGCGUGAGUGAUGAAGGCCUUAGGGUUGUAAAGCUCUUUUACCCGGGAUGAUAAUGACAGUACCGGGAGAAUAAGCACCGGCUAACUCCGUG
This 433-nucleotide ribosomal RNA is filed under the name uncultured bacterium. RNAcentral's name for it is "partial 16S ribosomal RNA". It matches the Rfam family "Bacterial small subunit ribosomal RNA", at positions 29 to 507 of the family's 1533-position model. The record is from RNAcentral.